GUACACGCUGUGACUAGCAUAUCAAUAAGCGGAGGAAAAGAAACUAACAAGGAUUCCCCUAGUGACGGCGAGUGAAGCGGGAAGAGCUCAAAUUUGAAAUCUUAAAGGGUUUCCCUUUACGAAUUGUAGUUUAAAGAAGUGUUUUCUGUUGAGGUUUUGGUAAAAGUUCUUUGGAAUAGGACAUCAUAGAGGGUGAGAAUCCCGUAUUUGACCUUUACUUUCAACUUUGUGAUACACUUUCAAAGAGUCGGAUUGUUUGGGAAUGCAGUCCAAAAUGGGUGGUAAAUUUCAUCUAAAGCUAAAUAUUGGCGAGAGACCGAUAGCGAACAAGUACCGUGAGGGAAAGAUGAAAAGAACUUUGAAAAGAGAGUUAAACAGUACGUGAAAUUGUCAAAAGGGAAGCGUUUGACACCAGUGUUGUUUUUCUGAAAAUCAAUUAAAGAACUGUUUAUGCUAAGCUGUUUAGACUUUAUCAGCUAUCUGCUUAGUUUUGAGCUUUUCUUUAAUGCACUUUUCAGUUAACAAGUCAACAUCAAUUUCUUUUGCUGUAAAAAAGCUUGAGGAAGGUGGCUUGAGAUUCGUCUUAAGUGUUUAUAGCCUCUUGCCUAUGCAGUCGGAGAGAUUGAGAUCUGCAGCGUAGAUCCUUCGGGGCUAAAUGCAUUUGUGCUAAGUUAUAGCAUUUUAUAGACAACUUGUUGACUAUGAUUUGUCUUGUAGCUUACUCGCUUAUGUUAUUUUACCUACGCUUAUGAUGUUGAUCUACAGAGCGAGAG
This 773-nucleotide ribosomal RNA is filed under the name uncultured Neocallimastigales. RNAcentral describes it as "partial large subunit ribosomal RNA". It matches the Rfam family "Eukaryotic large subunit ribosomal RNA", at positions 22 to 630 of the family's 3401-position model. The record is from RNAcentral. Lineage: Eukaryota; Fungi; Neocallimastigomycota; Neocallimastigomycetes; Neocallimastigales.